Molecule: ribosomal RNA, 253 nt
Filed under: uncultured bacterium
Lineage: Bacteria
Description: partial 16S ribosomal RNA
Rfam family: Bacterial small subunit ribosomal RNA
Source: RNAcentral
UACGUAGGGGGCAAGCGUUGUCCGGAAUCAUUGGGCGUAAAGCGCGUGUAGGCGGCUUGGUAAGUCUGCUCUGAAAGCCCGGGGCUCAACCCCGGGAGGCGGGUGGAUACUGUCAAGCUCGAGUCCGGAAGAGGAGUGUGGAAUUCCUGGUGUAGCGGUGAAAUGCGCAGAUAUCAGGAGGAACACCAGUGGCGAAAGCGGCUUCCUGGUCCAGCACCGACGUUCAGGCACGAAAGCGUGGGGAGCAAACAGG